GCUGAUCUCUCUGCUUUUACACUAUUCCCCCUGCAGGAAAGAGGCUUCACACAGGGGGUUUCUUUCUGACAGAGGAAGGAGAGAACACAAUCCCUACACUGAUCCUUAUUCACACUAUGCUCACCAUAAAUAUUUAUGAAUGAUUCACGAAUUAAGGAGCGCGGUCUGUUUGCUACGUUUAUAAAACACAUAAGUGGCACAGACCUCCCCGGUAGCGGCAAUUCAUUAUUCGCUACCUGCCUCUGUUUUUUGUUUGUUGUUGCAGUCAGACCUCAAACAAAUCACUGAUGUUGUAGAACAAGAUUGAAGAUCCAUUAGUGGUACCGCAGCAUUCAAGACAUUUAAAUAUUUUGCUGGCCUGCCGAAUGGUGCACGUCUUCAGGACACCAUGGACGGAUUUACUGAGUGGCGGUAUCAAAAGUGUGCUUGUACCGUCGAUGACGCACAUUCCCAUCAUCGCCCCCCCCAUGACGAAGCACCAGCAUACUAUAUUCUGAAGGGGUGGCACUCCAUUGGUGGUCGAUCACAACUCCUGCUUCACAGAUGUGCAUAUGGGUCGGCCUGGUCGCACUCAUGAUUCUCAAGUUUUAGCCAACUUGCGCAUCUACAGAAAGGCUGAAGAGUAAGGUUGAGUACCUCUUCCCAUGUGAAGAACUGGCUGAUGAAGGGGUUCACCAACCACCAUGCACUCGGUCAACGGCAGCAAAGCUUUAACUACCGCUUGAGCUUGGCAAGGAUGGUGGUAGAAGAUGCUUUUGGGGCGUCUCAAAGGUCGCUGGAGUUGCCUGGCCAAGCGAAAUGAUAUUUCUACCGCUUUGUAUCAGACAUUGUUGCUGUCUGUUGUGUUCAACUACACAAUACAUGCGAAAUGAAGAAAAGAACACUCCAGAACGGAACACUGAGCGACCCAAUCUCCCGGAGCCUGACUCAGUUACUUAUCAGGAUGCACCAGCACACAGUCACCAAGCUAUCCGUCUGAGCAAUUAUGUCCAUUCUGUACGUUUUGCUGCCCUGUAUUAUUUGUAAAGUUUGUAAUGACUGAUUUAAGCAUGAUUGUGAAUGAAUAAAAGACACUUAAGGGAUCAAUUAAAGGUGUUUUUAUUGUCUUACAAAGUGACGUGCAAAGAAAUGUAAAUACAUUCAAAUUCAAUUUUCAUAUUGUGCUAAGGAAAACUGAAAACAAUUAGACAGGACAAAUUAAAACCAUCAAUAACUAUUUACAACAUACAUUACUUAGCAGUGCAGAUAACAAAAGAGCAGUGCCAAUGAGCAUGUGCAGCCGUGUAAGGCAUAACAAGAUGUGGAUAACAAUCAGUCAGGCUGCUGGAGGAAGGAGGGGGAAGGUGGGUCAAAUGUGCUGUCUGUGUGGGGAGACUGUUAUUGUUGUGCGGUGGUGGUGAAUAAUGGUGUGUUUGGAGUGCAAGAGCGCGGUACAGUCCUGUGGGAACUGGUAUGCGUGAAAUCGGGUCCUGCCGAUGUGAGGCUGGACUCUACAUCUUGCGCUGAAUAUCUCGAAACAUGUUGCUCUGACCGCUUCUGCGCCUCGCUCCUCAGCUGCUCCUUGUGAGCUGUUUGUCUUUGAACACAAAAAAGGCGAUCCUUCUCAUCUUUGAGGUCCAUAGCCAGCAUCAGGUCCUUUAUUUCUUUGGUCACCACCUUAGCUUCAGUUAAUUUCCACUUUUACUGCGGGGGCAGGUAUUCUAGAGAACAAUAGAACACAAGCGACAUUAGCGAGACUGCUCUUUACGUGCAAACACACACACAAAAAAAAAGUAGGUUUUUACCUGGUCGAUCAUGAGGUGCAGAUUCGCCGAUUCUAUUGCUGCCAUCUGUAUAAAGCCGAGGGAGACGCGGCAACAGUCUCAGCGGGAGCGGGCUCCUCCAUGUUGUUCAGUAGGGCUCCUUGCUUAGGAGAGUGGCUGGGCCCCCAAAUAGAAUGGCACAGGUCAAAAUAUGGCUUUUCAACCAUCGUCGGCCAUUCAUACUAUAAUGGUCCUCGACCUGGUGGAACUUUUUGUGUAAGCUCUUCAGUUGGCUCGUCACCUACGCCUUGCCCUGAGCAAUGGCGCGCUCUUGACGCCAUUUUGCCAGCCUUUCUAAUAAUGGUCCGUUCUUUAUCGUCCCUGAUUUCAUCCUGUGCUCGGAGUGUAAGGAGUUCCCAGACCACGCUGUCUCCCCAAUUCGCAUUCAACAUUUUCAACAAUACGGUCUUGAUUCUUCGGAUUAGCUGCAAACUGUUUCUUCAGAGAUUUUGAAAUCCCAUGGUUGACGGGUGGCACACAUAAAACGUCAUCAAAACGUCACACCCCCUGUUACGCCAUGCCGGCUGUGACUACCUCCACUACCUUCUAUACAGAAAAGCAAUGUGAACAGGCUGUAUACAAAGCCUCAAAGAGAGGGAGGAAUGAGGUGAUGAGGUGUCCCUCGAUUCUGCCGUGCCUCCAGGGCUACCCCCUCUCCCCAUGACAAGUUACCAGACACCUGGAGCUGACGUCUCCACAGACUCGCUCGUAGCGCUCUGGGGGCAGCUGACCUGAGUGUAGCCCUCUCCUCUGACACACUCAUGCAUAGACACACUCACUGAAAGACACAUGGGAGCUCACACUGACAUGCGAGCACACGCACACACACACACACACUGACAUGCACACACACACACACACACACACACACUGACAUGCACACACAUACAUACACACACACACACAGAGACACUCACUCAGUUUUGCUGUCACACACACACACUCAUAGUCCUCAAGCCAGCUCUGCCUGUCUACCUUCUUCUGGCAGACUUCAAGUUAACAUGGAGUUAUCUUUGUGUGCACGGUGUUUCAACCCUCCCCCCUCCUUUCCUGCUGCUGUUCAUUGACUGCCAUGUUGAAUUCUGCAAAUAAAAUGUUCAUCAUUUUAGUUUUUUUGUAUUUAUCACUUCUGAAGUAAUAUUCAGUAAAAGGUCAGACAAGGCCCAGUUCUAUCUGAAGAUGUUUGGGCUGCUCAUAGACUCAUGAUCUAAUUACACACGUUAGCAGUGCUGUGUGCUUUUGCCAAGCUGCUUGGCAAAUUGAUUUGCAGUCUUGCUGACGGCUAGCAGCAGAUGGAGAGAUGUUAGUGAUAAUACAUCAGGCUUAUUUGAGUCAUGUUUUUUUUUCUUCUUUUUUCCUUCUCUCUCUCUGAUCUUGUCAUUCACCCAUGUGUGAACUUUCAGAAU
This is a long non-coding RNA of Clupea harengus (Atlantic herring), 3208 nucleotides long. NCBI's taxonomy places the organism in Eukaryota, Metazoa, Chordata, Actinopteri, Clupeiformes, Clupeidae. The record is from Ensembl.